CUAAGCAUAUCAAUAAGCGGAGGAAAAGAAACCAACAGGGAUUGCUCUAGUAACGGCGAGUGAAGCAGCAACAGCUCAAAUUUGAAAUCUGGCUCUUUUAGAGUCCGAGUUGUAAUUUGCAGAGGGCGCUUUGGCGUUGGCAGCGGUCCAAGUUCCUUGGAACAGGACGUCACAGAGGGUGAGAAUCCCGUACGUGGUCGCUGGCCUUCGCCGUGUAAAGCCUCUUCGACGAGUCGAGUUGUUUGGGAAUGCAGCUCUAAAUGGGAGGUAAAUUUCUUCUAAAGCUAAAUACUGGCCAGAGACCGAUAGCGCACAAGUAGAGUGAUCGAAAGAUGAAAAGCACUUUGGAAAGAGAGUCAAAUAGCACGUGAAAUUGUUAAAAGGGAAGCGCUUGCAGCCAGACUUGCCCGUAGUUGCUCAUCCAGGCUUUUGCCUGGUGCACUCUUCUAUGGGCAGGCCAGCAUCAGUUUGGGCGGUUGGAUAAAGGUCUCUGUCAUGUACCUCCUUUCGGGGAGGCCUUAUAGGGGAGACGACAUGCAACCAGCCUGGACUGAGGUCCGCGCAUUCGCUAGGAUGCUGGCGUAAUGGCUGUAAGCGGCCCGUCUUGAAACACGGACCAAGGAGUCUAACAUCUAUGCGAGUGUUUGGGUGUCAAGCCCGAACGCGCAAUGAAAGUGAACGGAGGUGGGAACCCUUAAGGGUGCACCAUCGACCGAUCCUGAUGUCUUCGGAAGGAUUUGAGUAAGAGCAUAGCUGUUGGGACCCGAAAGAUGGUGAACUAUGCUUGAAUAGGGUGAAGCCAGAGGAAACUCUGGUGGAGGCUCGCAGCGGUUCUGACGUGCAAAUCGAUCGUCAAAUUUGGGCAUA
This 867-nucleotide ribosomal RNA is filed under the name Leptosphaeria yunnanensis. RNAcentral's name for it is "Leptosphaeria sp. YG-2022a partial large subunit ribosomal RNA". It matches the Rfam family "Eukaryotic large subunit ribosomal RNA", at positions 34 to 919 of the family's 3401-position model. Lineage: Eukaryota; Fungi; Ascomycota; Dothideomycetes; Pleosporales; Leptosphaeriaceae. The record is from RNAcentral.